This 254-nucleotide ribosomal RNA is filed under the name uncultured bacterium. RNAcentral describes it as "partial 16S ribosomal RNA". It matches the Rfam family "Bacterial small subunit ribosomal RNA", at positions 524 to 776 of the family's 1533-position model. The record is from RNAcentral.
UACAGAGGUCCCAAGCGUUGUUCGGAUUCAUUGGGCGUAAAGGGUGCGUAGGUGGCGCUGUAAGUCGGGUGUGAAAUUUCGGAGCUUAACUCCGAAACUGCAUUCGAUACUGCGGUGCUCGAGGACUGGAGAGGAGACUGGAAUUCAUGGUGUAGCAGUGAAAUGCGUAGAUAUCAGGAGGAACAUCGAUGGCGAAGGCAGCCCCCCUGGGCUAGCACUGACGCUGAGGCAUGAAAGCGUGGGGAGCAAACAGG